Molecule: ribosomal RNA, 370 nt
Filed under: uncultured organism
Description: bacterial SSU rRNA
Rfam family: Bacterial small subunit ribosomal RNA
Source: RNAcentral
CGUAGGGUGCAAGCGUUAAUCGGAAUUACUGGGCGUAAAGCGUGCGCAGGCGGUGAUGUAAGACAGGUGUGAAAUCCCCGGGCUUAACCUGGGAACUGCAUUUGUGACUGCAUCGCUGGAGUGCGGCAGAGGGAGAUGGAAUUCCGCGUGUAGCAGUGAAAUGCGUAGAUAUGCGGAGGAACACCGAUGGCGAAGGCAAUCCCCUGGGCCUGCACUGACGCUCAUGCACGAAAGCGUGGGGAGCAAACAGGAUUAGAUACCCUGGUAGUCCACGCCCUAAACGAUGUCAACUGGUUGUUGGGUCUUCACUGACUCAGUAACGAAGCUAACGCGUGAAGUUGACCGCCUGGGGAGUACGGCCGCAAGGUUG